AUGUUUGUUAGGCAUAAAGAGAAAGAUAAUUUUCAUGUGAGGCUGCAAGUUGAUGUGCUUGAGCAGGCAUUUGGACCUAGGAUGACGGGUGCAACAUCUCGGGGAGAACCAAGUCGUCGUAAUGGCAUCUCUAGCCAGAACAGUUCAGUUGGUGCACGGCGACGUGGUGGCUCGACAAGUGUGGGCAACAGCAUUAGGGUCCCCCUUGAAGUGGAGCCUGAUGACUACAAUUCUGGGGUUGAUGAAGAGAAGUUAUAUUCUGAUGUUAUUCGGAAUUUACGACAGGCACCUCGGACUGAAAACCAAGAUGAGGCUCACAAUGCAGUCCAUGUGGAUGAUGACGCGGUGGGUGAGGACGAAGACCUUGCAGCUGUUGAAUGGGGCCCUUUGAACCCUCAUAUGGAAGAAGGUACAGUUUUUGCAUCCAUGAAUGAGUGUAGAAAUGCACUUGUGACAUACUGCAUCAAGGUAGAACGUACUUUCAAAGUUGACAAGAGUGAUCAAGUACGUUACAGAGUGCACUGUCCGACUGAGGGUUGUCCAUGGAGGCUGCUCGCAUCUAAAAUGCGGAAUAGCACUAAUGUUCAGGUCAAAGUGAACCCUUUUAAGCACACAUGCUAG
Molecule: ribosomal RNA, 621 nt
Filed under: Triticum aestivum (bread wheat)
Lineage: Eukaryota; Viridiplantae; Streptophyta; Magnoliopsida; Poales; Poaceae
Description: partial small subunit ribosomal RNA
Source: RNAcentral